RNAcentral lists this ribosomal RNA (499 nucleotides) under uncultured Glomeromycotina. RNAcentral's name for it is "partial small subunit ribosomal RNA". It matches the Rfam family "Eukaryotic small subunit ribosomal RNA", at positions 591 to 1092 of the family's 1831-position model. The record is from RNAcentral. Lineage: Eukaryota; Fungi; Glomeromycota.
CCAAUAGCGUAUAUUAAAGUUGUUGCAGUUAAAAAGCUCGUAGUUGAAUUUCGGGAUCAGAUUGUCGGUCGUGCCUCGGUACGUACUGGUAUUAUUGGUUCCUCCCUUCUGACGAACCACGAUGUCAUUAAUUUGGUGUCAUGGGAAAUCAGGACUGUUACUUUGAAAAAAUUAGAGUGUUUAAAGCAGGCUCGCGCUUGAAUACAUUAGCAUGGAAUAAUGAAAUAGGACGUUUGAUUCUAUUUUGUUGGUUUCUAGGAUCGACGUAAUGAUUAAUAGGGAUAGUUGGGGGCAUUAGUAUUCAAUUGUCAGAGGUGAAAUUCUUGGAUUUAUUGAAGACUAACUACUGCGAAAGCAUUUGCCAAGGAUGUUUUCAUUAAUCAAGAACGAAAGUUAGGGGAUCGAAGACGAUCAGAUACCGUCGUAGUCUUAACCAUAAACUAUGCCGACUAGGGAUCGGAUGAUGUUAAUUUUUUAAUGACUCAUUCGGCGCCUUACG